UACGUAGGGGGCAAGCGUUGUCCGGAAUUAUUGGGCGUAAAGGGCUCGUAGGCGGUUUGUCGCGUCGGGAGUGAAAACCCAGGGCUUAACCCUGGGCUGGCUUCCGAUACGGGCAGACUAGAGGUAUGCAGGGGAGAACGGAAUUCCUGGUGUAGCGGUGAAAUGCGCAGAUAUCAGGAGGAACACCGGUGGCGAAGGCGGUUCUCUGGGCAUUACCUGACGCUGAGGAGCGAAAGUGUGGGGAGCGAACAGG
RNAcentral lists this ribosomal RNA (253 nucleotides) under uncultured bacterium. RNAcentral describes it as "partial 16S ribosomal RNA". It matches the Rfam family "Bacterial small subunit ribosomal RNA", at positions 524 to 776 of the family's 1533-position model. The record is from RNAcentral.